Long non-coding RNA from Acromyrmex echinatior (Panamanian leafcutter ant), 3855 nucleotides. Lineage: Eukaryota; Metazoa; Arthropoda; Insecta; Hymenoptera; Formicidae. The record is from RefSeq and is a predicted model, not a curated record.
GUGUAUUUGAAAACGUCUAGAAUAUUUCAAGAGAAAAACAAAAUCGGUUUCUCCGGGACAAAUAAGAAUCGAGAGAGAAGAGCGGGGGAUUGACUUAUCCUCUGAUCGUGUGAAGGGGACUAUUUGUUAAUACACGAUCGACUAUGUGAAGAGUAAUAAAGAGAUUAAUAUUCGCAAUCAUGGAUCAAUCAUUGAUAUUGUGGCCACAUAUAAUCCUCGCAAUCAUCAAAUUUCCCAAAGUGAUUACCGCUUGACGUGAGUGAAAAAAUUAUUUUAUUUUAUCGCGAGUGCGCGAACGGGAAUAAAAAAAAAGUGAACUUGAUUUGUGACCGGUAUAAGCAGUGAGAUAAUGAUGAUUACACGUGAAGAGAGUGCACCAUCCUAGAUGGUGGAACAGCAACAUGCACAGCUCAAACAACGUCAAUAGCUGGAGCAAGAGAGACAGAUACUCGAACAGCGGCGAUUGCAACAGUCGACAUCGACGAUGUAGCCGGCGGAUAUGACGCAGAUGCCGAAUCUUUUUUUAUCUAGAGCCAAGAUGAGCCGCGUGAGCAUGAGAAUGCCGAAAUUUACACCUAUCGAUCCGGAGCUGUAGUUUCACAUAGUCGAUCGCAGCAUUCAAAGCUGCUGGAAUCAUAAUUGACGCAACGAAAUUUGGUUACGCUCUGAUGGCGAUAGGAUCGCGAUAUACCGCCGAAGUUCGCGAUAUUAUAAUGAAUCCGCCAGCGAAACGUGCAUACGAAACAUUAAAAAAUGAAUUAAUUAGACUUAAGGUCUCAGCCUGUCGCAGGAGCACAAAAUGCGUCGACUUUUGGAGCACGAAGAGAUUGGAGAUCGCAAAUUAUCUCAGUUUUUACGACACCUUCGUGGUCUCGCCGGAAACGUAGUUGGAGACCAAAUUUUACAAACAAUUUGGUUGAGCCGUUUGCCUGCAUAUAUUCAGCCACAUUUAGUUGCGCGAACGGAACGGUGAUAAAUACAUACAGGAUAGAAACAUUGACGCUAAAUUUAGAAUUGCGAAGGUCGUUCACUUGGCGUUUCGUGAUUGCCGAUGUGUCGAGGCCGAUUAUCGGAGCCGACUUCCUCGUGCAUUUCGGUUUAUUGAUCGAUAUGCAGGGCGGCAUAUUCUCGUCGAUCGAAUCACGAGUUUGACUGCACCCGAUCGCGUUGCAAUGUGCCUAGCAUCAAGACAGUCACUGGGAAGAUGCCGAAUCACGCAGAUGAUGAUGCGGUAGUAGAUAUCCGGAGAUGACGCGACUGGAAAGGCGGCCUGGCGAGACAAAACACGAAAUGCACCAUUAUAUCGCAACGAUGACGGGGUCAUCCGUGACAUGCAAGCCGCGAAGACUCGCACCGUAUCGUCUCACUAUCCUAGAAAAGAGUUCCAGAAGAUGGUCGAGCUCGAUAUAGCAUGCCCAUCAAAGAGCUGUUAGUCGUCGCCUCUGCACUUAAUACCAAAAAAGAGUGAAGAAUGAAGACCUUGCGGAGACCAUCGGGCACUGAACGCGUGAACAAUACCGGACUGUUAUCCUGUACAUCAUAUAUAGGACUUCGCACAGGAGCUUCGAAGUAAGAAGAUCUUUACUACCAUAGAUCUGGUCCAGGCGUAUCAUCAGAUACGUCAUCCGGUGGAAGACGUGCCGAAGACUGCAAUAACGACGCCGUUCGGCAUAUACGAGUUUCCGUACAUGUCGUUUGGACUGCGAAACGUGGCGCAGACGUUCCAGCAGUUUAUGAACGAGGUUCUGCCUGGCCUUGAUUGGUGCUACGUAUAUAUCGACGACAUCCUGGUCGCGUCGUCUUCUGCAGAGAAGCACAUGAAGCAUCUCGAAAUAUUAUUUGAAAGACUACAGGAAUAUGAGAUCAUCAACCCAACCAAGUGCGUGCUUGGCCAGUCGGAGGUGGAAUUUCUCAGUUAUUUGGUUACCGAAGAAGGAACUCGACCACUGCCGUGCAGACCCGCGCGAGUACAGGCGAUCCGAGAAUAUAGAGUGCCAAGGAUGGCUAGGGACCUUCGUAGAUAUCUAGACAUGUUGAAUUUUUACAGGAGAUUCCUGCCGAGAGUGCUGAGGUGCUUGCGCCAACGACCUCCUGCACGAUAACAUCAAGGAGAAGACGCCGAUAACAUGGAUCUCACAAGCUCAGCGGGCGUUUAGGGCAUCGAGGGAGAGCCUGGCUCAAGCGGUCUUGCUGGUAUAUCCGAAGAUUGACGAGCUAGCAUUGUUUAUCGACGCGUCCGACCACAGCGUCGGAGCGACGUUGCAACAACGAGGCGACAAUGGCUGGGAGCCUUUAGCUUUCUUUUCCAAGAAACUAAGUUCAGCCGAAUCGAAAUACAACGCUUUCGAUAGGGAGCUGUUGACCAUGUAUCUGACGACAGAAGCCUGAGAAGUGCAUGCCACGCCAAUUUUGCCACUUGGAUUUCAUCGGACAAUUUACGACUGACAUUAAGCACGUGUCUGGCGAUGACAAUCAUCUGUCGUAACAGAUGCGCUGUCAAGUAUAGAAGAGCUACAAUCACCAUUAAACUUUGCUGCACUUGCGAGUUCACAACAGGAUGACGAGGAACUUGCAGGAUUCCUACAUCGAGAGUUCGGCCUGCGGUUGGAGAAGUUAACGAUUUCGGAUACAGGAGUGGCUCUGUACUGCGACACUCGACCGGUCGUUCCUGACAGGGCCUUUCCGUCAACCCGCGUUCGACCUGAUCCAUCGAUCAUUGGCGCAUCCGGGAAUUAAGGCAACGGCGAAGCUCGUGACGCAGCGCUGUAUCUGGCUAUCCCUGAGAGCGGAUUGCAGGGCGCGAUCGUGCAUACCGUGUCAAAGAAAGACGGACCAUACCUGGUCGUCAGUCACGAUCGCAAGCUUUGUCGUGAAUAUACACAGGAAGAACACAAUUCAAUAGAUCACAAUUUGACAAUUUCAAUAGAUCAAUUAAAGCCUGCUUACAUUUUUUCAGAAAACAGCAACGCACCGGAGUAUGUUGACGCGCGAGCCUGCCGGGACGACGACGAGCAAGACGUGAUUUCGGGACAAACCGAAAACGAGCCAACAUCUUGGCAACAACCAAGGACGAGAACAGGCAGAAGAGUUCGCUUUCCCGAUCGUUUCCAGGCGGAUGAUAAUGAACAGAAGCAUUGUUAAAAAAUUGAAAUAGCAAAAUAGCGAAUUUAAAUAGCAAGAAAAGAAAAAAAUACGCGACACACACAACGAACUUAGCAUACGCAAUAGAGUAAUUAUACAUAAUUUAUUUAUCUUAUCUGUAUUUUUACGAUGACACGCGACGCCGCGUGUAAAACUUAGUUUAUUUAUUUAUUUAUUUAUUUAUUUGAUCGAGUGCGCUCAUGUAUAAUUCGCGGAUUAAAUGACUGAAACAUGAAGAUUUAGUAUUUACAUCGUGAAGUAAGUCCAUUACUGGCAGGGGGAUAUUGUGGCGAAUUUAUUGCCACUACUCCACCUGCAAGUUAAAAACUAAUAUGACAGUUUCGUAUCUUAAAGAAAAGAGUAGCAUAGGAGUUCGCAAGAGAUACCGAAUACAUGUUAGUCCGUGCAAAAGUUCUCAGCUGUUCGAAUGGAAAAAAAAAAGGAAAACACAAACAGACAAUCUAGACAGUAAACUAACAAGAUAAACAGCGAAAAGCGGGUACAGCGAAAAACGAGAGACGCGUUAUAAAUAAAGUCGCUAGAUUGCAUAUAUUUUUGUGUAUUUGAAAUAUUCGAGAAAACAAAAUCGGUUUCUUCGGGACAAAUAAGAAUAUUCGAGAGAGAAAAGCGGGGGAUUGACUUAUCCUCUGACUCUGGUCAUGUGAAGGGGACAGUCUGUUAACGCACAGAGUAAUAAAGAGAUUAAUAAUCGCA